AUUGAACGCUGGCGGCAGGCCUAACACAUGCAAGUCGAGCGGAUGAAGGGAGCUUGCUCCUGGCUUCAGCGGCGGACGGGUGAGUAAUGCCUAGGAAUCUGCCUGGUAGUGGGGGAUAACGUCCGGAAACGGGCGCUAAUACCGCAUACGUCCUGAGGGAGAAAGUGGGGGAUCUUCGGACAUCACGCUAUCAGAUGAGCCUAGGUCGGAUUAGCUAGUUGGUGGGGUAAAGGCCUACCAAGGCGACGAUCCGUAACUGGUCUGAGAGGAUGAUCAGUCACACUGGAACUGAGACACGGUCCAGACUCCUACGGGAGGCAGCAGUGGGGAAUAUUGGACAAUGGGCGAAAGCCUGAUCCAGCCAUGCCGCGUGUGUGAAGAAGGUCUUCGGAUUGUAAAGCACUUUAAGUUGGGAGGAAGGGCAGUAAGUUAAUACCUUGCUGUUUUGACGUUACCAACAGAAUAAGCACCGGCUAACUUCGUG
RNAcentral lists this ribosomal RNA (484 nucleotides) under uncultured bacterium. Its description in RNAcentral is "partial 16S ribosomal RNA". It matches the Rfam family "Bacterial small subunit ribosomal RNA", at positions 30 to 507 of the family's 1533-position model. The record is from RNAcentral.